Non-coding RNA from Danio rerio (zebrafish), 1117 nucleotides. The record is from RefSeq and is a predicted model, not a curated record. Lineage: Eukaryota; Metazoa; Chordata; Actinopteri; Cypriniformes; Danionidae.
GAGGAGCAGAGGAAUAAUCACCUGCUGUAGGAUAAAACACUGAGGUGGAGGUGUUGCGUAGAUGACGUGUGACAGAGGCAGUGUUGCGAAGGUGAGGUGUGGUGGUAGCGGGGUUGCGGGUGUGGGAAGUUAGGUGUUGUGUUGGCGAGGUCUGACUGAGAUGGUGUGGGGGUGUGGUGUGACUGAGGUGGUGUUGCGCUGGUAAUGUGUGACUGAGGUGGUGUUGCGGAGGUGAGGUGUAACUGAGGUGGUGUUGCGCUGGUAAUGUGUCACUGAGUUGGUGUUGCGGAGGUGAGGUGUGUCACUGAGGUGGUGUUGCAGAGGUGAGGUGUCACUGAGGUGGUGUUGCGGAGGUGAGGUGUCACUAAGGUAGUGUUGCAGAGGUGAGGUGUGUCACUGAGUUGGUGUUGCGGAGGUGAGGUGUCACUGAGGUGGUGUUGUGGAGGUGAGGUGUCACUGAGGUGGUGUUGCGGAGGUGAGGUGUGUCACUGAGUUGGUGUUGCGGAGGUGAGGUGUCACUGAGGUGGUGUUGCGGAGGUGAGGUGUCACUAAGGUAGUGUUGCAGAGGUGAGGUGUGUCACUGAGGUGGUGUUGCAGAGGUGAGGUGUGUCGGAGGCAGUGAUGUGUUGGUGAGGUGUGUCGGAGGCAGUGUUGCGGAGGUGAGGUGUGUCAGAGGCAGUGUUGUGUUGGUGAGGUGUGUCGGAGGCAGUGUUGUGGAGGUGAGGUGUAUCAGAGGCAGUGUUGUGUUGGUGAGGUGUGUUGGAGGCAGUGUUGCGGAGGUGAGGUGUGUCAGAGGCAGUGUUGUGUUGGUGAGGUGUGUCAGAGGCAGUGUUGCGGAGGUGAGGUGUGUCAGAGGCAGUGUUGUGUUGGUGAGGUGUGUCGGAGGCAGUGUUGCGGAGGUGAGGUGUGUCAGAGGCAGUGUUGUGUUGGUGAGGUGUGUCAGAGGCAGUGUUGCGGAGGUGAGGUGUGUCAGAGGCAGUGUUGUGUUGGUGAGGUGUGUCGGAGGCAGUGUUGCGGAGGUGAGGUGUGUCAGAGGCAGUGUUGUGUUGGUGAGGUGUGUCAGAGGCAGUGUUGUGUAGGUGAGGUGUGUCAGAGGCAGUGUUGUGUAGGUGAGGUG